GGAUGAUACGAUUAUUUCUAUUUAAUGGAAGAGCCCCAAAUCGGAAGGGCAUUCAGCCAAAAUAUUGACACGGUAUCAGCGAUACCUCUACAUCCCAUCGUUGAAUCUUUGAUUUUCAAUUUUAUUCUGCCUACAGGGUGGUCGGAGUAGGUGAUUGAAUUUCUUGUUUAGGGUAUUCAAGAUUUCUGGGUGGUCAUGCGUUUGGAAUUUUGGGUUGGCUGAUUUGUGGUCAACAUCUUGGUUGGUGUAGAUCGUCGUCUUCAACGCGGCGGUGGUGGUGCAGAUCGCCAUCUUCAGCACAGCGAUAGUGGUAUUCAAUUGUAGCUUGAGUAGUUUUUUCCCCUCUUCACCGGUGGGUAUCAAUUAAGUGUGGCUAUGUAUGGUAGGUUGUCGGAGUUGGAUCGAGCGUUUAUGUGUGUGCAAUCGGUGUGAUACGACGUCUCAAUUUUCAGGCGUCUGACUUCAUGGUUAUUGUGUGGAUUAGCCUUGGCUGCCCAUUUAAUUGAAUUGGGCUUGGUUUUUUUGGGGCCAUUUAUUUGAAAAGAAUCUAAUUUUGUCGGUUGGAUUUAUUUAGAGUGGUUUUAUUAUUAUUAUUAUUUUUUAUUUUUUUUGCGUCCAAAUUUGUUUGGGCCGCAAAUCUUUUUAUUUUGUGGGUUGAUUAAGUUUGGACUGUUAUAAUUUGUGAUUUUCUUACACUGAGAAACUAAGUCAAUUGAGGCUUUUGUGUUAAGUUCACAUGAAAGAAUUAUUUUAUAU
Molecule: long non-coding RNA, 756 nt
Filed under: Olea europaea subsp. europaea
Lineage: Eukaryota; Viridiplantae; Streptophyta; Magnoliopsida; Lamiales; Oleaceae
Source: RNAcentral